CAAAAAUGAUAUUAUCUCUUAUUAUUAAUUUAAUUCUGGUUAUAAAUUUAGUUAAUUUAUGAUUUAUAUGAUUAUUGUAUAAAGUUAUGUUUAUUCAGUAAAUGAUUUUAUUUAUGUGAAAUACAUUAAAUUGUUUAAAGUUAUUAAGUUUGCCAAAAUUGUGCCAGCAGCAGCGGUUAUACAAUUAAAUUCUAAAGAAUUAAAAUUUUAUGACGAUAGAUUAUAAAUAUUAUAGAGGUAAAAUUCAAUAUAGAAGGUCUAAAACUAUCUAUUUAAAGACUUUAAGUAAAACAAGGAUUAGAUACCCUUUUAUUUAUGUUCAAUAUAUAGAUUGGAGAGUACGAGCUAUAGCUUAAAAACCAAAGGAUAUGGCGGUAUCUUAAUUUAUCAGGGUGGCUUGUAAUUUAAUUUGAUAAUCCACGGUAUUAUAACCUUAUUUUGAAAUAUUCAGCAUGUGUACUGCCGUUUAAUAUAAUUUUAUAAAAUUAUAUAAUAUAUAUAUAUAUAUAUAUAUAUAUAUAUAUAUAUAUAUAUAUAUAUAUAUAUAUAUAUAUAUAUAUAUAUAUAUAGUCAGGUCGAAGUGCAGUCUAUAGUAAUGGUAUAUAUGAGCUACAUUUAUUUAAACAUUCAUUUUUUUUAGUGAAAUUGAAAAAUAGAAGAACUUGAUAGUAAUUAUAAUUUAUUAAUUAUAAUGAAAAUAUAAGCUAAGAUAUGUACAAAUCGCCCGUCACUCCUUUAUAAAGGAUAAGUCGUAACAUAGUAGAUGUAAUGGAAAUUGUAUCU
This 783-nucleotide ribosomal RNA is filed under the name Hirudinaria manillensis. RNAcentral describes it as "12S ribosomal RNA". The record is from RNAcentral. Lineage: Eukaryota; Metazoa; Annelida; Clitellata; Hirudinida; Hirudinidae.